GACGAACGCUGGCGGCGUGCUUAACACAUGCAAGUCGAACGGAAAGGCCCUGCUCUUGUGGGGUGCUCGAGUGGCGAACGGGUGAGUAACACGUGAGUAACCUGCCCUUGACUUUGGGAUAACUUCAGGAAACUGGGGAUAAUACCGGAUAGGAGCUCCUGCUGCAUGGUGGGGGAUGGAAAGUUUCGGCGGUUGGGGAUGGACUCGCGGCUUAUCAGCUUGUUGGUGUGGUAGUGGCUUACCAAGGGUUUGACGGGUAGCCGGCCUGAGAGGGUGACCGGCCACAUUGGGACUGAGAGACGGACCAGACUCCUACGGGACGCAGAAGGGGGGAAUAUGGCAGAAUGGGCGGAAGCCUGAUGCAGCAGCGCCGGGUGCGGGAUGACCGCCUACGGGGUAUAAACCGCUUUGGCCGUUGACGAAGCGUGAGUGACGGUAAUGGGUAAGGAAGCACCGGCUAACUACGUG
Molecule: ribosomal RNA, 468 nt
Filed under: uncultured bacterium
Lineage: Bacteria
Description: partial 16S ribosomal RNA
Rfam family: Bacterial small subunit ribosomal RNA
Source: RNAcentral